UGAACGCUGGCGGCGUGCCUAAUACAUGCAAGUCGAGCGAACAGACGAGGAGCUUGCUCCUCUGACGUUAGCGGCGGACGGGUGAGUAACACGUGGAUAACCUACCUAUAAGACUGGGAUAACUUCGGGAAACCGGAGCUAAUACCGGAUAAUAUAUUGAACCGCAUGGUUCAAUAGUGAAAGACGGUUUUGCUGUCACUUAUAGAUGGAUCCGCGCCGCAUUAGCUAGUUGGUAAGGUAACGGCUUACCAAGGCGACGAUGCGUAGCCGACCUGAGAGGGUGAUCGGCCACACUGGAACUGAGACACGGUCCAGACUCCUACGGGAGGCAGCAGUAGGGAAUCUUCCGCAAUGGGCGAAAGCCUGACGGAGCAACGCCGCGUGAGUAAUGAAGGUCUUCGGAUCGUAAAACUCUGUUAUUAGGGAAGAACAAAUGUGUAAGUAACUAUGCACGUCUUGACGGUACCUAAUCAGAAAGCCACGGCUAACUACGUG
Molecule: ribosomal RNA, 495 nt
Filed under: uncultured bacterium
Lineage: Bacteria
Description: partial 16S ribosomal RNA
Rfam family: Bacterial small subunit ribosomal RNA
Source: RNAcentral